UACGUAGGGUGCGAGCGUUGUCCGGAUUUAUUGGGCGUAAAGAGCUCGUAGGCGGUUUGUCGCGUCGGCCGUGAAAUCUCCACGCUUAACGUGGAGCGUGCGGUCGAUACGGGCAGACUUGAGUUCGGUAGGGGAGACUGGAAUUCCUGGUGUAGCGGUGAAAUGCGCAGAUAUCAGGAGGAACACCCGUGGCGAAGGCGGCUCUCUGGGACGGUACUGACGCUGAGACGCGAAAGCGUGGGGAGCGAACAGG
RNAcentral lists this ribosomal RNA (253 nucleotides) under uncultured bacterium. RNAcentral's name for it is "partial 16S ribosomal RNA". It matches the Rfam family "Bacterial small subunit ribosomal RNA", at positions 524 to 776 of the family's 1533-position model. The record is from RNAcentral.